Molecule: long non-coding RNA, 364 nt
Organism: Limanda limanda (common dab)
Lineage: Eukaryota; Metazoa; Chordata; Actinopteri; Pleuronectiformes; Pleuronectidae
Exons: 4
Source: RefSeq, a predicted model, not a curated record
UCAUGCCUGCAAGAGUUCACAGUCCAAUACCACUACCACAACCUCCUCAACCAACUGAGCAACAGUCCACUGAAGUUCAGAAGACUUGACGAUAUGAUCACUGGAACCAUGCUGAAGGUCGUGCUUGUUCUCAGCUGCCUCCUGAGUCUCACUCUGGCUAGACCGAACCACAUGCGAGUUCCCGCUCUGAUUCGUCCUCUUUUUCAGAGUCCAACAAGCGGAAUACGAAAGGAUGCGGCUCCACUAUAACUUCAGCCCAGUGGGCCCAGAUCCUCCUCGCCAUCCUCCAGCAGAAAACUACAGGAUCAAAAUAUAACUGUUUUCUGUGUAGAAUCUGCUGGAUAAAGUUCAUACAUGAAAACGA